RNAcentral lists this long non-coding RNA (2288 nucleotides) under Gossypium barbadense (sea-island cotton). RNAcentral's name for it is "long non-coding RNA (GBAR_LNC019373)". Lineage: Eukaryota; Viridiplantae; Streptophyta; Magnoliopsida; Malvales; Malvaceae. The record is from RNAcentral.
AACUUAAGUACAUGCCAUAUAACGAACAAAAAGAGACUAUACAAACAUUGUUGAGUUAAAGAUCGCUUCUUGGAUGCUGAAAUCACUUCUUGAGACCUUCACAUGUACCUAAACCUGUGCAUGGGAAAACAAACCGUAUUUUAAGCAAUAAUGCUCAGUGGUAUUUUCAUGAUUCAAGUUAAUAUAAUACGAAUUCAAUCAAUUGCAUACACUCAAUCUAUAAUUCUAAUAUCAAUCCAUUCAUAUACAAUUCAUGCUAAUCCUCAUUUACAUAUAAACAUAUAUAUGUCAUAAAGUGUACCACCUAUGUCAAAUGGAUCAAUUAUACAUUGUCUUAAUUAAGAACUAUAUAAAGAUAUCAUACCAAUGUCAUUAGUGUUUAUAUUUCCUUUCAAUAUAACACAUUCAAUCAUAUUCGUUUUUCAUUACUGAACCAAAUCAAUUCAUUCGCUAACUUUCCAAAUCAGCCCUCAGACUCGUUUAACCGGUUUGCAUGAUCUUUCACAUACUGCUGAUAAUCAUAUAUCGUAUAUAUGUACCUGUAGUACAAUUUCAUAACAUUGAAUCAUUUCGAGUAUCAUUUAACCAAUUUAAAAUUUAUAUUCCCUAUUAACAUGACUCGAACUCGAACUCGAACUCGAACGGAUAUACGGAUCCCAACCAAUACACCAAUUUGGUAACCAGUGCCUCAUCGGAACGUCCGAAGUAAAUAGAUUAUGCCUAUCACUCAUAGAAAAGUCCGUAGGAAAAUGUGUCCAACCCUCAUCGACAUAUAGUAGAAGUAACCCAUACUCAAUCUAUUCCAUGGCAUGCCAACUAUAUCCAACUCUGCUCGAACAGUUAAUGGGGUAACAAAUUUUCCAAUUUCAUUAUAUAAUUCCAUUCACAUUCUCUCAUUCUCAAUUCAUCAUCAAUUUCAUUAUUUCAACAUUUAAUAUAACAUAUUUCAGCCAAAUUCUAUAUCAAAUAACAUGUAUCAAUUAAUUCAUGCAAAAUUUUAUUUUAUUCAAUUUAGUCCUCUAUCUCGAUAUUUAAUCUUAAACAUGGCAAUUCCCUUUAAAUAAUCAUUAUCAACUCAUCUCAAUAUCAUAUUAUGCAAAAUUCACAAUAUGCAACAAUUAAAUUUAUCCCAAAUCACAGAAAUACCAACUAAAAGCUCGUGUCACUUGUCGUCGGCUCUCACCUUUCCUUUCCCUCUCAACGGAUUAGCGUCAUCUUUAGCUAUGAAUAAUAAUUCAACAAUAACACAAUAUCAAAUUUCAUAUCAAAUCACAUUCAAAUACAAAACCAAACAUAUUUUUUAAUUUAUUCAAUUUAGUCCCUAAAAUUGGGACAAAUAAAAAUCUGAUUUCAGAUAUACUCAUUAGGCUCAUUAGGGACCCUAUAAUUUCCAUCCCUACAAAAUUUUUAUAGUAAAUUUAUAUUUUAUUCAAUUUGGUCCCUGAUGUAGGAAACUAACAAUUAAUCUUUACAAUUAGUCCUUUCCAUAAUCUAAACUUAAUUUCUAUCAAAUUCAUGGCAAUAUAAUAUAUUUCUCAAUAAUGAAAAUUUUCAAAAACUUUAAUAGUUUUACAAAUUGGAACAUGGGCUAGCUAAAUCAAGCUCCCAUGACCUUAAAUCUAUAAAAAUGGCAAGAAAAGGACCAAAAUUACCUUAAUAAUAGUUGGUCAAAUACUUCAAGCUCUAAAAAUGGAGUUUCCCUAUUUUUUGUCUCUUUUGGACGGGUGAAGAAGAUGACAAGAUCAUCUUUCUUUCCACCCAAAUGUUAUUUAUACUAAGAUUAUUAUUUAAUUAAUCUUAGUUAAUUAGGUUUAAUUAUAAUAAUCUAAUUAUUAAUCAUUUAUCAUUGAGAUAAUUGCUAUUUAGGCCCUCAAGCUUUUUUCUAAUUAAAAAUCUAUAGUAAUUGAACUUCUACAAUUUUAGAGUGCCAAGUUUGCCAAAAGGUCCCAAAUACAAACCUCUAUUUAUAGGCCUUGAAAAAAGAAGUUAAAAAGGAAAAUGAUUAAGAAAAGAAAAGUGGGCAUGAACAUGCUAAAUUGAAGGGUAGUGGGAUUAAAAGGGGUUACCUGAACAUGGAAAUAUGGGAAAAUGGAGAGUAACAUGGUAUAAUGAUGGUUAUACGAAAGUUACACCCACUUAAAGUAUUUUAGCAAGAAAGACUUUAAAGUGCAAGUGCAUUGUUUGUUCAUUAAAGAAAUAAAGAGGAAACCUUAUCUUCCAAAGUACAUCUUUUGUAUAUGAGCCUCUAAGCCAUGCUCUACAUAACAUCCCAAAAGUAGAACAACCAC